GAUGAACGCUGGCGGCGUGCCUAAUACAUGCAAGUCGAGCGAACGGACGAGAAGCUUGCUUCUCUGAUGUUAGCGGCGGACGGGUGAGACACACGUGGAUAACCUACCUAUAAGACUGGGAUAACUUCGGGAAACCGGAGCUAAUAACGGAUAAUAUUUUUAACCGCAUGGUUCAAAAGUGUAAGACGGUCUUGCUGUCACUUAUAGAUGGAUCCGCUCUGCAUUAGCUAGUUGGUAUGGUAACGGCUUACCAAGGCAACGAUGCAUAGCCGACCUGAGCGGGUGAUCGGCCACACUGGAACUGAGACACGGUCCAGACUCCUACGGGAGGCAGCAGUAGGGAAUCUUCCGCAAUGGGCGAAAGCCUGACGGAGCAACGCCGCGUGAGUGAUGAAGGUCUUCGGAUCGUAAAACUCUGUUAUUAGGGAAGAACAUAUGUGUAAGUAACUGUGCACAUCUUGACGGUACCUAAUCAGAAAGCCACGGCUAACUACGUG
Molecule: ribosomal RNA, 497 nt
Filed under: uncultured bacterium
Lineage: Bacteria
Description: partial 16S ribosomal RNA
Rfam family: Bacterial small subunit ribosomal RNA
Source: RNAcentral